Prionailurus viverrinus (fishing cat) is the source of this 1958-nucleotide long non-coding RNA. RefSeq lists it as uncharacterized. The transcript has 5 exons. The record is from RefSeq and is a predicted model, not a curated record. Lineage: Eukaryota; Metazoa; Chordata; Mammalia; Carnivora; Felidae.
GCCUGGGAGGGCAGAAGAGGGUGCAUGAGUUGCUUCAUGCUGCCUGCUUACACGCAUUGGCACUGCAGCUGCCACCCUUGUGCCCGCGGAGAUGGGAGGAAGCGAAUGGGGAGGGGGACAGCCGCAGGAGUCCUGGUGGUCUGAGAGGGAGACUCGGUACCUGGGAGCCAUUGGCAUCACACCCGUCAGGCUGGUGCCCCGAGCUGGGGCAGUGGGAACAGGGGCCCCAGGAGGCAGAGAGGAGGGGCAGAGAUGUGUUAAUGAUGUUUCUGUCUCUCUGGAGCUCAGCUCUGAGAAACAGUUGAACUAUGAGGUAGUUAGCCUUCUUCUAGUCUGGGAAAGUGAAGUGGUGGAAAGAGUAGCCAGGGAAGUGCCAAGAAAGUGUCUAAGAGCAGGAGAAGGGAUCGUGCCACUGCUCCCUGGGGGAGCUCCUCAGGGCUGGCCUUUGUGAAAAGCACGGGGAUGUGGGCGUGAAGCAAUGGGUGCUGGCACUGCCCAUGGAGCCUGGCAGAGGCUCUGGCAUUGUGUGGAAUGGAGGAGGGUAGAAGUGCCUCUUGCCAAUCUGGUUGAGAAGAUUGCUGUGUGCCAGGAAUGAGAAGGGAGGUGAGAUGGUGUGUGUGUGUGUGUGUGUGUGUGUGUGUGUGUGUGUGUGUGUGAGAGAGAGAGAGAGAGAGAGAGAGAGAGAGAGAGAGAGAGAGAGAGUGAGUGAGAGAGUGAGUUUGGGAGAACAGACUUGUUUUCUGCCAGGACCUCCUUCCUGUUCCCUCUUAGGCAUGGGGAGCGGAGCGACAGACGGAGAGAGGCUUGAGGACACAAAGGAGGAAGCGUGCCAUUGCCAAGACCCCAAGGAAGAAGGACAGAGAGCGCUGGCAGUCCUGUCUGGCCCCCAGCCAGUUUCCUGCUGAAGAUGGCCAAAUCCUCUUGCCUGGUCUGUGCUGCUCAUCUGGGUCCUGUAACGCCGCUGCCCCAUUCCAUCUGGAACCCCGACCCCACUUCCUGUUCCUCCACUGCUUCCCCCAGCCCCAGGAGACUCUGGUUCGGCCAGACUGGAAGCAGACGAAUCGCUGAGAUCCCCUGCAGAUGGACUGCAAGCCUCGCUCUCUGACCUGCACCACCCGCUUUUUGAGUCCCACCUCCUCGGAGAUGCAGUCGAGCAUCUUGCGCGUUGGGUUGGAGUCUUGCAUGUACCAACGGUACAGGAUCUCCAGCUGCUCGGGCAGGAUGGUGGCUUUCCCUUCCUAUGGAAGCUAACAUGUUCCGGGGGGUUACUUUCUUCAGAGAUUUCUCACCACCUGAUAUUUCCUGGUUUACUUACUUCUCCCUUCUAGACGAUGAGGCAGCCAAGAAACAGGUUGAGUGAGCUGCUAACUGUCACACAACUCCAAGGAGGGGAAACCAGAGGACUGGCGGGGCACAGAGACCUGGGCCCUCCAUCUACCUGGAUCGUCCCUCAGACCCAGGAAAGGCCAAAUGAGCCUCCAGAGGUCUAGCAGUCAGAAUUCUGGGGCUCCCUCCAGCUACUAGAAACGCCAGGCCUCCCACGCUGUUCCCAGCCUUUUUACCUUGAUUACCACACCUUCCUCCCCCUCCGCAACCCCCCCCCCACCCCGCUUCCCAUCCCCACCAAACUCACCAGUUCCCCAUGCUUCACCAUCCCAUACUUUUCCCAAUGUCCCAAGUGGUUUGCAUCCACUCCAGGUCUUAAUUACCAGCCAAUCUCUAAUGAUUAAACCUUUAGCGUUCAAGCCCAUGCUUCCAGAAGGGAUGUGGUCUCCUUCCUUCCUUGGGCCACCGCUAACGCUCACCUUCAGAUUCUUUGAUUAGGAAUGGGUCUUCGGCCUGGCCCCACCCAGCCUGCAGGCCCCCUUUCCCACUUCCCCCCCUCCUCCUAGGGGGCUAGCCAGGCGUGAAGUCAGAGCCAUUAAGUAGCUCCGCGUGGGGCUGGAUCAGCAUGCUAA